GCCGGGCAUGAUGGCUCAUGCCUGUAAUCCCAGCUACUCAGGAGGCUGAGGCAGAAGAAUCGCUUGAACCCAGGAGGCAGAGGUUGCAGUGAGCUGAGAUUGUGCCACUGCACUCCAGCCUGGGCUACAGAGUGAGACUCUGUCUUAA
This 148-nucleotide signal recognition particle RNA is filed under the name Nomascus leucogenys (northern white-cheeked gibbon). RNAcentral's name for it is "Metazoan signal recognition particle RNA". It matches the Rfam family "Metazoan signal recognition particle RNA". Rfam says of the family: The signal recognition particle (SRP) is a universally conserved ribonucleoprotein. It is involved in the co-translational targeting of proteins to membranes. The record is from Rfam by way of RNAcentral. Lineage: Eukaryota; Metazoa; Chordata; Mammalia; Primates; Hylobatidae.